This is a long non-coding RNA of Artibeus jamaicensis (Jamaican fruit-eating bat), 524 nucleotides long. RefSeq lists it as uncharacterized. Lineage: Eukaryota; Metazoa; Chordata; Mammalia; Chiroptera; Phyllostomidae. The transcript has 2 exons. The record is from RefSeq and is a predicted model, not a curated record.
GGGGGGGGUCGGGGGUCGUGUGUUUUACGCUCAGAUGGCGAUUAGAACGGAACCUUUUGGCAUAGUCGGGAUGCAGCGGGCCCGGGGGACUUGUAGUGAGGGGGCGAGGGCAGCUGCGGCAGUGUGCGGGCUGGGGGGCCUGGGCGCGCUCGGGGGCCGCUUAGGUCGCGCGGCCGCCACGUGCAUCCCUAGAAGCUGAGUCCCCAGCCUCGUGCAUGCACUGUGGCCUGGCGGGCACCCAGCGCUCCGGGUGAGUCGGCCCAGGGCGCCACGUGGCCCUGUGAAUCCACUCUGCCGCUGCUGACCUGAACCCCUUCCGCUCCCCGACAACUAAAGAGCGAGCUACGUGGGACAGAGAAAUCCCGUGGCACAAGGAGUGUCAACGGCUCCAGGGCUGAGUGGCAAGUGAUGCUGUGGAAACAAAAUAACGUUCCGGAAACUACCAAGGCCUGAAUGUUACUCUUUCAAAGACAGUAAGGGAGUGCUUUCUUCUGUAAUUAAAUAAAAUGCUUGAUUCUUGUGGA